GAUGAAGAACGUAGCGAAAUGCGAUACUUGGUGUGAAUUGCAGAAUCCCGUGAACCAUCGAGUCUUUGAACGCAAGUUGCGCCCGAAGCCGUCAGGCCGAGGGCACGCCUGCCUGGGCGUCACACGCCGUUGCCCCCCCCGCGCCCCGCACCCAACUCUUUGGGAGCGACCGCGGGGCGGGCUGAUGAUGGCCUCCCGUGCGCUCCGCCGCGCGGUUGGCCCAAAUACCGAGUCCCCGGCGACGUGCGCCACGACGAUCGGUGGUUGAGAGACCUCUGUCGCAAGUCGUGCGCGCCCGUCGCGUCACGCGGGCUCGCAUAGCGCCUCGCGCCGCACCCGGUGCGGAGCUUUCAACGCGACCCCAGGUCAGGCGGGGUUACCCGCUGAAUUUAAGCAUAUCAAUAAGCGGAGG
Molecule: unclassified non-coding RNA, 412 nt
Filed under: soil metagenome
Description: partial contains 5.8S ribosomal RNA, internal transcribed spacer 2, and large subunit ribosomal RNA
Rfam family: 5.8S ribosomal RNA (bases 1-122)
Source: RNAcentral